GCAACAAGGGCGGAGGGAACUCCGGCGACAGGGGCAUUCCUUUUAUAGCUACUGGAGCAGAGGAACGGAAACGGCGCGGGGAGAGAGAAGGGGAGCGGCGCGAAGGCCGGGGAGAAGCAAUGGAGUGCUCUGCCGGGGCGGCGAUUGAGCGAAGAGGGCGGUGGCGCAGAACUCCGGGGGUGACGCCAGCGAUCAUUGCGUUCUGCCGUCAGGGCGGCGUAGGAGCGGGUAGACUGGUGGUUGAGAUUUGGCGGAAAGCGGGCGUCGUCGUGCGGAAGA
RNAcentral lists this long non-coding RNA (279 nucleotides) under Setaria viridis. RNAcentral describes it as "long non-coding RNA (SVIR_LNC003235)". The record is from RNAcentral. Lineage: Eukaryota; Viridiplantae; Streptophyta; Magnoliopsida; Poales; Poaceae.